RNAcentral lists this ribosomal RNA (253 nucleotides) under uncultured bacterium. Its description in RNAcentral is "partial 16S ribosomal RNA". It matches the Rfam family "Bacterial small subunit ribosomal RNA", at positions 524 to 776 of the family's 1533-position model. The record is from RNAcentral.
UACGAAGGGGGCGAGCGUUGUUCGGAUUUACUGGGCGUAAAGCGCACGUAGGCGGAUUUGUUAGUCAGGGGUGAAAUCCCGGGGCUCAACCUCGGAACUGCCUUUGAUACUGCAAGUCUCGAGUCCGAUAGAGGUGGGUGGAAUUCCUAGUGUAGAGGUGAAAUUCGUAGAUAUUAGGAAGAACACCGGUGGCGAAGGCGGCCCACUGGAUCGGUACUGACGCUGAGGUGCGAAAGCGUGGGGAGCAAACAGG